Molecule: ribosomal RNA, 429 nt
Filed under: Chloroflexota bacterium
Lineage: Bacteria; Bacillati; Chloroflexota
Description: Chloroflexi bacterium partial 16S ribosomal RNA
Rfam family: Bacterial small subunit ribosomal RNA
Source: RNAcentral
UGGGGAAUAUUGCACAAUGGGCGCAAGCCUGAUGCAGCCAUGCCGCGUGUAUGAAGAAGGCCUUCGGGUUGUAAAUUACUUUCAGCGGGGAGGAAGGGAGUAAAGUUAAUACCUUUGCUCAUUGACGUUACCCGCAGAAGAAGCACCGGCUAACUCCGUGCCAGCAGCCGCGGUAAUACGGAGGGUGCAAGCGUUAAUCGGAAUUACUGGGCGUAAAGCGCACGCAGGCGGUUUGUUAAGUCAGAUGUGAAAUCCCCGGGCUCAACCUGGGAACUGCAUCUGAUACUGGCAAGCUUGAGUCUCGUAGAGGGGGGUAGAAUUCCAGGUGUAGCGGUGAAAUGCGUAGAGAUCUGGAGGAAUACCGGUGGCGAGGGCGGCCCCCUGGACGAAGACUGACGCUCAGGUGCGAAAGCGUGGGGAGCAAACAGG